This 254-nucleotide ribosomal RNA is filed under the name uncultured bacterium. RNAcentral's name for it is "partial 16S ribosomal RNA". It matches the Rfam family "Bacterial small subunit ribosomal RNA", at positions 524 to 776 of the family's 1533-position model. The record is from RNAcentral.
UACGGAGGAUCCAAGCGUUAUCCGGAUUUAUUGGGCGUAAAGAGCUCGUAGGCGGUGUGUCACGUCGGCCGUGAAAACCUGCAGCUUAACUGUGGGCGUGCGGUCGAUACGGGCAUCACUGGAGUUCGGCAGGGGAGACUGGAAUUCCUGGUGUAGCGGUGAAAUGCGCAGAUAUCAGGAGGAACACCGGUGGCGAAGGCGGGUCUCUGGGCCGAUACUGACGCUGAGGAGCGAAAGCGUGGGGAGCAAACAGG